RNAcentral lists this ribosomal RNA (479 nucleotides) under uncultured bacterium. RNAcentral describes it as "bacterial SSU rRNA". It matches the Rfam family "Bacterial small subunit ribosomal RNA", at positions 50 to 518 of the family's 1533-position model. The record is from RNAcentral.
AACACAUGCAAGUCGAGGGGCAUCAGGAAGUUAGCUUGCUAACUUGCUGGCGACCGGCGCACGGGUGAGUAACGCGUAUCAACCUUCCCCAUAGUAGAGGACAGCCCGGCGAAAGUCGGAUUAAUACUCUAUGUUCUUCGUGGAUGGCAUCUGAAAUGAAGCAAAGAUUUAUCGCUAUGGGAUGGGGGAUGCGUCUGAUUAGGCAGCAGGCGGGGUAACGGCCCACCUGGCCGACGAUCAGUAGGGGUUCUGAGAGGAAGGUCCCCCACAUUGGAACUGAGACACGGUCCAAACUCCUACGGGAGGCAGCAGUGAGGAAUAUUGGUCAAUGGGCGUAAGCCUGAACCAGCCAAGUAGCCGUGAGGGAUGACUGCCCUAUGGGUUGUAAACCUCUUUUUUACGGGAAUAAAUGCUCCUACGUGUAGGAGUUUGCAUGUACCGUACGAAUAAGGACCGGCUAAUUCCGUGCCAGCAGCUGC